This 1497-nucleotide ribosomal RNA is filed under the name uncultured bacterium. RNAcentral's name for it is "partial 16S ribosomal RNA". It matches the Rfam family "Bacterial small subunit ribosomal RNA". The record is from RNAcentral.
GUUUGAUCCUGGCUCAGAUUGAACGCUGGCGGUAUGCUUUACACAUGCAAGUCGAACGGCAGCACGGGGCAACCUGGUGGCGAGUGGCGAACGGGUGAGUAACAUAUCGGAACAUGUCCGGAAGUGGGGGAUAACGUAGCGAAAGUUACGCUAAUACCGCAUAUGCCCUGAGGGGGAAAGGGGGGGAUCGCAAGACCUCUCGCUUUCGGAGUGGCCGAUAUCGGAUUAGCUAGUAGGUGAGGUAAAGGCUCACCUAGGCGACGAUCCGUAGCUGGUCUGAGAGGACGACCAGCCACACUGGAACUGAGACACGGUCCAGACUCCUACGGGAGGCAGCAGUGGGGAAUUUUGGACAAUGGGGGCAACCCUGAUCCAGCCAUACCGCGUGAGUGAAGAAGGCCUUCGGGUUGUAAAGCUCUUUCGGCAGGAAAGAAAUCGUGCAGGCUAAUAUCCUGUAUGGAUGACGGUACCUGAAGAAGAAGCACCGGCUAACUACGUGCCAGCAGCCGCGGUAAUACGUAGGGUGCGAGCGUUAAUCGGAAUUACUGGGCGUAAAGCGUGCGCAGGCGGCUUUGGCAAGACAGACGUGAAAUCCCCGGGCUUAACCUGGGAACUGCGUUUGUGACUACAGGGCUAGAGUGUAGCAGAGGGGGGUAGAAUUCCACGUGUAGCAGUGAAAUGCGUAGAGAUGUGGAGGAAUACGAUGGGCGAAGGCAGCCCCCUGGGCUAACACUGACGCUCAUGCACGAAAGCGUGGGGAGCAAACAGGAUUAGAUACCCUGGUAGUCCACGCCCUAAACGAUGUCAACUAGGUGUUGGGGAAGGAGACUUCUUUAGUACCGCAGCUAACGCGUGAAGUUGACCGCCUGGGGAGUACGGUCGCAAGAUUAAAACUCAAAGGAAUUGACGGGGACCCGCACAAGCGGUGGAUUAUGUGGAUUAAUUCGAUGCAACGCGAAAAACCUUACCUACCCUUGACAUGCCAGGAACCCUGCUGAGAGGCGGGGGUGCCCGAAAGGGAACCUGGACACAGGUGCUGCAUGGCUGUCGUCAGCUCGUGUCGUGAGAUGUUGGGUUAAGUCCCGCAACGAGCGCAACCCUCGCCCUUAGUUGCCAUCAUUCAGUUGGGCACUCUAGGGGGACUGCCGGUGAUAAGCCGGAGGAAGGUGGGGAUGACGUCAAGUCCUCAUGGCCCUUACGGGCUGGGCUACACACGUGCUACAAUGGCGGUGACAGUGGGCAGCAAGGCAGCAAUGCCAAGCUAAUCUCAAAAAGCCGUCUCAGUUCGGAUUGAGGUCUGCAACUCGACCUCAUGAAGUUGGAAUCGCUAGUAAUCGCGGAUCAGAACGCCGCGGUGAAUACGUUCCCGGGCCUUGUACACACCGCCCGUCACACCAUGGGAGUUGGUUUUACCCGAAGGCGAUGCGCUAACCGCAAGGGGGCAGUCGACCACGGUAGGGUCAGCGACUGGGGUGAAGUCGUAACAAGGUAGCCGUA